This 201-nucleotide non-coding RNA is filed under the name Selaginella moellendorffii. RNAcentral describes it as "Eukaryotic large subunit ribosomal RNA". It matches the Rfam family "Eukaryotic large subunit ribosomal RNA", at positions 967 to 1170 of the family's 3401-position model. The record is from Rfam by way of RNAcentral. Lineage: Eukaryota; Viridiplantae; Streptophyta; Lycopodiopsida; Selaginellales; Selaginellaceae.
UUUCCCUCAGGAUAGCUGGAGCUCUUGCUGAGUUUUAUCGGGUAAAGCGAAUGAUUAGAGGCAUCGGGGGUGAAACACCCUCGACCUAUUCUCAAACUUUAAAUAGGUAAAGCAGCUGGGGUUCUUUGUUGAGCCCCGGCCGUGAAUGCGAGCUCCAAGUGGGCCAUUUUUGGUUAAGCAGAUUGACUAGGCCAUUUUCGG